UGAGACAGGAUAGAUUACCGCCGGCACCCCUUAAAAGGUGCGGGAGGAAAGUCCGGACACCCUAUGGCAGCGUAGCGGGUAAUGCCCGUCCACCGCAAGGUGAGGACAAGUGGAACAGAGACGAGCCAGUUAAGUCUGGAUGAAACGGCUAAACUCUACGUGGUGCAAGCUCAAAUAGGCCUAUGUUUUACGACGGCCAGUCGGAAUAGGCGGGUAGAGCGCUUGAGCCAGGGAGCAAUCCUUGGCCUAGAAGAAUGGUAAUCCACGACAGAAUCCGGCUUACAUCUAGUUCUCAACUU
Molecule: RNase P RNA, 299 nt
Filed under: Halobacteriovoraceae bacterium
Lineage: Bacteria; Pseudomonadati; Bdellovibrionota; Bacteriovoracia; Bacteriovoracales; Halobacteriovoraceae
Description: RNase P RNA component class A
Rfam family: Bacterial RNase P class A
About the family: Ribonuclease P (RNase P) is a ubiquitous endoribonuclease, found in archaea, bacteria and eukarya as well as chloroplasts and mitochondria.
Source: RNAcentral